CGUCAGUUCGUACUGUGAAGCAUCCUGUUAAGUCAGGCAACGAGCAAGACCCGUGCCCACUGUUACCAGCAUAUCCUUUAUGGAUGAUGGGGACUCUGUGGGGACCGCUGCUGCUAAAGCAGAGGAAGGUGCGGGCUACGGUAGGUCAGUAUGCCCCGAAUCUCCCGGGCUACACGCGGGCUACAACGGUUGGGACAAUGGGUACCUCCUCCGAAAGGAGUUGGCAAUCUCUUAAACCCAAUCGUAGUUCGAAUUGAGGGCUGUAACUCGCCCUCAUGAAGCUGGAAUCCGUAGUAAUCGCGUUUCAACA
RNAcentral lists this ribosomal RNA (310 nucleotides) under uncultured archaeon. Its description in RNAcentral is "bacterial SSU rRNA". It matches the Rfam family "Archaeal small subunit ribosomal RNA", at positions 1002 to 1310 of the family's 1478-position model. The record is from RNAcentral.